RNAcentral lists this ribosomal RNA (421 nucleotides) under Pontibacter sp. Its description in RNAcentral is "bacterial SSU rRNA". It matches the Rfam family "Bacterial small subunit ribosomal RNA", at positions 337 to 745 of the family's 1533-position model. The record is from RNAcentral. Lineage: Bacteria; Pseudomonadati; Bacteroidota; Cytophagia; Cytophagales; Hymenobacteraceae.
UCCUACGGGUGGCUGCAGUACGGGAAUAUUGGGCACAGUUCGGAAUAUUGACCCAUGCCAUGAAAGCGUGCAGGAUGAAGGCCUUCGUGGAGUUGUAAACUGCUUUUAUCAGGGAAGAAAAUUUUCCCGGGGGAGUAAAUGACGGUACCUGAUGAAUAAGCACCGGCUAACUCCGUGCCAGCAGCCGCGGUAAUACGGAGGGUGCAAGCGUUGUCCGGAUUUAUUGGGUGUAAAGGGCGCGUAGGCGGCCCGUUAAGUCAGAGGUGAAAUCCCGGGGCUCAACCCUGGAACUUCCGUUGAAACUAGAUAGCUUGAAUCCGGGAGAGGGGGGUGGAAUUGGUGGGGGUGGGGGUAAAAGUAGUGAUUCCUCGCGAAGAACACCGAGUGGCGUAAGGGCAGCUUCACUGGCACAGAACUGACG